Molecule: microRNA precursor, 89 nt
Filed under: Paramuricea clavata
Lineage: Eukaryota; Metazoa; Cnidaria; Anthozoa; Malacalcyonacea; Plexauridae
Source: RNAcentral
CAGGGCUGAGUUCAACCCCGGGGUUGAAAUUUCAACCCUGCUAGCUGAAGCAGGGUUGAAAUUUCAACCCGGGGUUGAACUCAGCCCUG